GCGAGUGCGGGCCUACGCACGGGGAAGAGAGAGCAGAUGAAAGACUGCGCGGGAGGAACACGACCGGCCCCUGAGGCUUGCGCAGGGUGGUUGCUAACUACCCUUAUCUUCUCCCGACAAGUUGCCCCUCAUUAUCGCCCAUUAUGAGACCGCCCGCCAAUUCGAGCAGUCAUUGAAUCAAAUGCAAAUUGGCGAAAUUAAUUGCGUGAGCGUGAUACACUAUAGUACCGUAAUUGCGCGUCAGUUUUUCUAUAAUUUACCAUCGCAAAAAACACAUGUGAUUAGCUGUUUGGACGUUUUAAUUGCUAUUUAUCUUAAGAUAGCACACACAUUUUUUUGUUUUAUUUAUAUACAUACAUGUACACUUGAAAGAUUUUUUAAUUAAAAUUGUCGUAUACGUAUUAAAUAUUAUGCAAGAUUUGAAGCAGCUUUUUUUGACAUAAAAGUUAUUGUAUGACAGAAUAUGUUUUUAGUUUUAAUGUAUAAAAUCUUAUAAUAAUGACGCUUUUUACUUUAAUUGAAGUAUAUAUGUUUGUAACAGUGUGUCGAAAAAAAGCGAAUUUCAUCAUUCAAUCUCAUCUUAUUUCUGUUUAUAAUUCCUGAAAGCUUGAAACAUCUUUAAAUCUAAUCUUCUACUUCUGAUGAUGUCACAUCGAGUUUUCGCAAAAGAGCAAGGAACGAAAAUACAACAGAGACGUCUUACGCGUAUUCAGAGAAUUGAUAGAAUCAGCGAUCUGUUUGGACGUUGUUUAAACAAAGGACGAUGGCAAGCAGAUAUGAUAACGGCGCCAUUUCGUCGGCGAGUUAUAGGGUAGAAGCACAGGUUGGUGCGCUGGGUGGUUCUUCUGGCGCGACGCCAGGCGUCCGCCGAAUUUAGCACCGCGGCGCUGACUAACUCGCGUGGCAUUCAUUCAAUCGUCGACCAAAAAGCCUCGCUGCCUGCAUAGUAUCUUGCUCUUUGCGCGAAACGUGAGUUCUGAGGAGAUUAGAAAAAAAGAUCAAAUUUUUCUGAAAGUCACUUCAAAUGCGAAAUAUUCCAAGGAAACACUCCCCAGUAGAAUUUCCCGAAUAUUGCUUUUUGUCGACGAUUUUUGAAAUGCCGAUUUCUUCUCGCUUUAAAAAGUUAAUUAUUAUUUUCAAUUGCGAUUUUAUUAACAGCAUCAAACACUGAACACUUUUAUGAAUACAAUAGAAAUACAAAUUUUAUUAGAUUUUAUUCUAAAAUAAGAGCAAAUUUGAUUGGAAAGUUGAGAGACAAAUUGUUUCUAAAUUGAAAAACAGUUAAUAAGACUUUAAUAAUUUAAAUAAUAUGUUAGGAAGAAAAAUCUCAAAAAGGACACUGGAUAUUCGUGUGCAAGAAUUUUAUUUAAGAUGAUGUCAAACGCGUUGCAACGCGAACGCAUUUGAAAAUAUGUACGUACGCCGAAUAUGCAAACGUUUCAACUCACAUCACGAGUCUUCUUCAGUGCAAAGUGUAAAAAGAUUGUUUGUGAGAUUGCAAGAUUGUCUAUAGUCGCACAAUACGUCAUUCGGAGUAAAACGCGCGACAGCAGGAAAGCUCUAGAUGGGAGUUGCGGAACAGGUGUCCCGGCGGGCAGCGUAAAUCGUAAAUCGUCGACGGUAUCGUCGUCGAACGGCCAAAAAUAAAGUCACGAGUUCCCCGAGCACGUCGAGCGAGCAAGAGCACAUCCUCGACCGACACAGACGCAAUUCGAUCGCAGAAGCCGCUUCCAUCAACGUAACCGACAUUGCAACCGACAAUGCUAUAGCGGAGCAUCUUCUCGUUGCUUGAUGUGCGCGCUUUAUCCGACGGUGCAUCCUACAGGUGCCCAAAGGUGUUCCGCUCGCCCACCAGCGCGAUUCGCGUAUUUUCGGCGCUCUUGGAGCGCUCCCAGAUGCGGAGGAGGAGGAAAUACGCGAUAGCGAGUAGGCGAUCUUGACGGAUAAAUCGCGACCGCGGUCACGUGCGGAAGAGUGAGGAAGAAUACUCUCGCGAGGCAUGCGAGAAGGGAGAACGACAUUUGUUCAAGAUCACGAUCGUAAAGGAAUGCCCGAUGAAGACCUCAUCCCGCCCCUCCCAAACAGUUUCGAUGAAACCGUUCUCUUCGAAAUGAGAAUGUGGAUGGUAAUAAAUUACACUAAACGAUUUGUACGAGAGAGUCUACCAAAUCGGGACGCGCUUGUAAGAGAGGAAUUUCCCAUUUUGGGUAAUUUCUCGCCUGAGGAAGAUGGAUAAGUGCGAGGGCGGAUAUAUAGGUUUUUUGCGUUGAUUCCCGGGCGGGGAUACCGAGUCAUUAGGAGAGUGAUUCCAUCACGGGGCGGCCGGGAUCGUUUAGGACGAGAGAGCGUGACUGGAUCGUCUGUCCCGAUGUGUAAAGUAUCCGGAUAUACGAAGGGCUCGGUUCCACCUAUAAAUCAGCGGCCUUCCGCGUGCGCCAGCCUCCUUUCCUCGAGCUAGGCCAGGAGCAAGUACUUUCCGCGUGCCGGAAAAAAGGGAAAAGCACGCGAUCGCUAUUUAAAAGGCUCGUGGGCGACUUUCUAGCUCCGGAUUUCGGAGUACGUAUAUACGAAGAUGAGGCGAGGGAGAGAGAAAGAGAGAGAAGGAAAGAGGACUUCGACUUUGCCUCUCCUCCGGCGGCCUCGGCAUGGGGUUGUCGUGCUAUUUUCAGGCCCCGCCGGCUCGGUGCAGCUGUCGUGGACUUCGGGUAAACCACCUCUCUUCUAUUCCACGGCCAUCCGCGAGGCGCAACAAGGUCAAGAGAUCACUCGCGGCCGCGAAGGUGUCUAAGCCCAAAAGAAGGAAGGAAAUCUAAUUAUAGAAGUCGUUGUACCGCGUGCUCAGUGGAGAACGAUGGAGGGUGUGAGUGCGGGUGCACGAAUAAGAAUCGGUUGUGCAUUGGGCGGCCAUAAAAUGCAGUCUGCAUCCGCUCGACGCAGAUGUACCGCGGAACGGGGUUCGUUCCUUCUACAAGGAGUCCGCAAAGGAUCUCUCGUUUUGAUGUUAGGCGGAUCCACCGACGAUAUGCUCAGUGCAACAGAACAGAAUAAAGAUUCGCAAAUAUGCAAUUAAUCGAAACGAUCCGUUAAACAAAAAACAAAUAAAAAUUAAGAUUAGAUUAGAUAGGCUAUCUUAAUAUUAAUGUUAAUUAGUAACUUCAUUGAAAACUUUUCCAGCACGUUGAUGCGUUAUCUCAGAUAUGGCAUGAUAUCGUUCAUUACACCAUUCAUCCGGGAGCCAUGUGGUUCAUUGCUAACUCGUGCGGCACUUCCUGUCUCGUAUGGUGAUAUAAAAAUGAUUCUAGUACUUUGUACCGUCAAAGAAUCACGAGAAUCGCACAAAAUUAUAUAAAAUAUAUAUGUACGCUUAUGCAUAGGAUAUAUAAAAUAUAACAAAAAAGAUCAUUUCAAAUAUGCUAAAUAUAUCUUUGCGUUUAAUAUAAUAUAUAUUUUACGUAUUUAAAUUAAUAAAAGAAUCAACAGCCAUUAUUUAAUCAAGUGUACAGUAUGCAAAGUACAGAUGAACAAAAACAAAUAGAUCUUUUCUCCCUGUAAAGAAACAGAAAUCUUUAUUCUUUUUUUUGCAGUUACCGUUACUUCGUAAUGCAAAGUUUCCUUUCAAUUUCGCUAAUGCAAGCUUACGCCGAUUGCUCCUGGAGUAAGGUCCAAACGUCGAUAAGUUUCAGCUGCUAGAUCUCGCGCGUGAUCAACUCGUGCCGGGCAGGCUACGAUUAUUAUUGUUUCCCUUUUCUCUCCUCUCUUUCUCUCUCUCGAAGUAGCCGAGUGUAUGCCCGUGACGUGGCCAUGUAAGGGCUAGGCGGGGGUGCCAUGCCGGGGUAGCUAAUUUUAGAUCGACUCCCGUACUUCCAGGAGUCGACUCGGCGAAUCGGCAGCUGGUGAUUCGACGAGCUGCUGCCUCUCUCGCGCGUGCACGUGAGUCCGGACGUACAAUGCGUGUCGCCCGGCAUCGUCCACCAGUCAUCCGCCUUCACGCUUUUCUCGUCUCGGAGAAGACCGACGUGUCCAAGCGUCCUGGUCCAGAUGUGUCUCCCUCCGAGACACGCGGUCACAAUCGAUCAAGAGAGUCUUCUCGAGUAGAACACGACGAUGUCAGCGAGAAAAACCGGAAAUAGAGCGGAGACUUUGAGAGGCGUCGGAGAGAAGAACCGCGGGCAAAGGCGGG
This 4180-nucleotide long non-coding RNA is filed under the name Monomorium pharaonis (pharaoh ant). Its description in RNAcentral is "uncharacterized LOC118645229". The record is from RNAcentral. Lineage: Eukaryota; Metazoa; Arthropoda; Insecta; Hymenoptera; Formicidae.